Vitis riparia (riverbank grape) is the source of this 2461-nucleotide long non-coding RNA. RefSeq lists it as uncharacterized. NCBI's taxonomy places the organism in Eukaryota, Viridiplantae, Streptophyta, Magnoliopsida, Vitales, Vitaceae. The record is from RefSeq and is a predicted model, not a curated record. The transcript is spliced from 5 exons.
UUUCAUUAAUUACUUCCGGUGGGUGGGUAAAAGUUCUAAAGGCCACCACCAUUCUCUCACUCGAGGCAUGAAGAAGCCCUUUUCUGAAGCUGCCCUCCGGACGAGAGAAUCCCUAAGAAGGCCCUAUUUUCCUCUUCCACUCUCAAUCCUCGCAGGACAUGGUUUUCAUUUUGUCCUCCUCUUCUUAUAAAUAGAGCAGAGGAGUAAUAAUCUCACCAUUUGUCUCCACUGUGAUUCAGAAAAAAAAAAAAAAAGUUAUGCUCGUUGUAUCAGAGGAAUAUUGCCCUUCUCCAAUGGGCGGCUGAUAGUGAUGAUGCCACGAUCAACUACUUUUUAAAGCUGAUGUCUGACUAUGUGGAAGACAAACCCACUGCAGAGAGAGGAGAAAGAACUAUGAACUAUUUGUUUUUGGGUUUUGUAUUGUGAUGGAUGUGAAAGACAAGGGUCAUCCCCCUUGUCCUAAGACAAGGGAGUCUACUAAACCAACAUCACUAUUGAGAGGUGGAAACAGUGAGGACGGGUUAGUCCCUAUGAAGGUUUAAUUCACAGUGAUGGGUAUGUGCACUGAGGGGAGGUUGAGGAGCGCGGGAGUUGUUUGAAGAAAUGCCAAUGAGAAGGAAUGUGGUUUGACGGACUGCAAUGAUAAAUGUGUAUGGGAAAGAAAGGGAUUUUGUGGAGAUGUUGAGUUUGUUUUCCGGAUGCUUGUUUUGGCUGAUGAGGUCCAGCUCAAUGCGGCAACAACAGUGUGUCUACUGUCUGCCUAUUCAACUCUCUGGAAUUAUGGAGUUGGAAGGUUCCUUUUGGUUUUUAUCGAUGUUAACAAGAUCCCUUUGAAUUCAAUCUUGGUUACUGCUUUCAUAGACAUGUAUUAUAAGUGCGGGGAUGUGGAGAAAGCUUGGAGAAUCUUUGAUGGUGUUUCUUGUAAGAAGCUGCCUCCUUGGAAUGCCAUCAUUACUGGAUAUGUGCAGCAUGGACUUUUUGAGGAAACAAUUGAUUUAUACUGUCUCAUGAAAGUAGUCUGUGAAACCAAAUGAGAUCACACUGGUGAAUGUGUUGUCCGUUUGUGCUGGCUUAGGGGCACUGUAACUUGGGAGAGAAGUUCAUCUGUACCUGGGUUUAAAUGGGUUAGAGCUAAAUGUGAUUCUUGUCACUGUUGUGGUUGAUAUGUAAGCAAAACGUGGUAAAAUCAAUGAUGCUUGUUUGGUUUUUGUGAAGAUGAGUGAGAAAGAUGUAGCCUUGUGGAAUGCCAUGAUACUGGUACUGGCUUACCAUGGUGAUGGAAGUGACUCUUUCUUUAGUGGUUUUUUCACAGAUGGAGAGGACUGGUGUGUAGCCCAAUGAUGUCACAUUCAUUGGAGUUUUAUCAGCUUGUAACCACUCAGGAUUGGUAGAAGAGUGAAUGGUUCAAUUUUCUAGUAUGGCUGAUAAACAUGGAUUGUCUCCUAAACUUGAGCAUUGUGCUUGUAUGGUAGAUCUCCUUGGCCAGGCUGGGCAUGUUAAAGAAGCAUAUGAAUUGGUCCAGAACACGAUAAUUCCACCUGAUUCAAUAAUCUGGGGUGCUUUACUAAGUGCUGGCUGCAUCCAUUGGAAUCUUGAACCAGUUGAUACAAUCAGUGAAACAAUAACGGUAUUGCAGGAUCCCAAUCUGGGUUAUGCAUUCUGUUGUGGAACAUUUAUGAAGAGCGAAAAAUAUCUACACUACCCUUAAUUGCUUCUCCAACUGCAAUCUCCAUAUGGCAAGCUGACACCUUUCUGUGUAUAGGGCUUUAUGGGAAGGUAAGGAAAGAAAAUCAAGUAAACUAAUUGAGGUAAAAUCAGUAAUGCUGCCAAAAUGAAUAUGAGUAAAGGCAUAAAGGGAAGCCGAUUAAUAAUUAAGUUAUUUUACGGGUUUGUAACCAAGUAUUGAUGGAAAUGAAAAAAAUCAUGAUUGGAUUAUUGCCAUAGGUCAAAACUUUGGAGCCCCAUGGGAUUUGCUGAAAACUUGCUCUUCAUCUUGUAGAAUUUUCAAAUUUUCACACGCACUAAAGAAGGGAUGCACAUCACAGGUUAUCAUCAUCUCCCAGAUGCAAUUUUGUUGUAGAUUUCAGAGCAUUUUUUAGUAGUUUACUUGAGAGUUGCCAUGUAUUAUAUAGUCUAGGAUGUAAAGCCUGAUUUUCACUUGCAACUAUCAUCUAGUGAUCGAGUCUCAUUUAAAGAAUUGUUGAAUCUGUAAGGUAUAUAUCUCAAGAUAUUAGUAGGGAAGACAUUUGAGAGCUAAUUUGGUUGCUUCCAUAGCCAAUGCCCAUGUAGAAGUAACCAAGGAGUUUUGGCAACCCGCUCUCAUGUAUCAUAUAUUAAGAAUGUUAUUGCAUUCAAUGACACUAGGGAAAGGUUUAUUGUGAUUUAGUGGUUGCAUUUCAUUUGAAAGCUUUCAUCUUUGAGCUGAUAUUUCUGUUGAACAGAUUAGGAGCUGUGUGUGUCA